AUUAAAUUUUUAGCCGUAAAGCGUUUCUAUCGCCGAAUACAAACGAGUUAAAGUAUUCGGAGUGUUUUAUAGUGUUAAAACUUCUUCCAGAAUGGUUGUUUAAAUACGGAUAAACUCUUUUAGUUCUUUCGUGUUUUCUUUUAUUUAUUCUUCUAAGGCAAGGAACUGUGUGGCCUCUGACGUCACAGUUAUCAUCACCAUAUUUGGCAUCUCACGGUCAUAUUAGGGAGGAGUAUUGUGACGUUUAUAAAAUUUGUGUGUAGGCUUGUCGGAGAACAUAUGGUUGUUUGGACACAAAUUACGGCUGUUUCGUUUAAUGUGUUUCGAGUCGGCGUUCAAAAAAAAUCCGAAUGGACGUUCAAAUGUGCAAAACUGGACGGAUUAGCGGAUCGCUUUUUUUUUUUUUUUCUCGCUCUUCCACGCUGAGGUCGACAUCUUUCGUCCUUUAUUUACUUGCGUUCGGUAAUUCUUUACAAAAUAUUCGGGUAAAACCCGCACUUCUGUAUUGUUUAUUGUACAGCACGACGACACCGAGUUUUUUUUUUUUUUUUUUUGGUUUUGGGGG
This 565-nucleotide long non-coding RNA is filed under the name Androctonus crassicauda. Lineage: Eukaryota; Metazoa; Arthropoda; Arachnida; Scorpiones; Buthidae. The record is from RNAcentral.